GACGAACGCUGGCGGCGUGCUUAACACAUGCAAGUCGAACGGACAGGCCCUGCUUUUGUUGGGUUCUCGAUUGGCGAACGGGUGAGUAACACGUGAGUAACCUGCCCUUGUCUUUGGGAUAACUUCAGGAAACUGGGGCUAAUACCGGAUAGGAGCUCUUGCUGCAUGUUGGUGGUUGGAAAGUUUCGGCGGUUGGGGAUGUACUCGCGGCUUAUCGGCUUGUUGGUGUGGUAGUGGCUUACCAAGGCUUUGACGGGUAGCCGGCCUGAGAGGGUUACCGGCCACAUUGGGACUGAGAUACGGCCCAGAAUCCUACGGGAGGCAGCAGGGGGGAGUAUUGCACAAUGGGCGGAAGCCUGAUGCAGAAACGCCGCGUGCGGAAUGACGGCCUUCGGGUUGUAAACAGCUUUGGAAUGUGACGAAGCGUGAGUGACGGUAAUGGGUAAAGAAGCACCGGCUAACUACGUG
This 468-nucleotide ribosomal RNA is filed under the name uncultured bacterium. RNAcentral describes it as "partial 16S ribosomal RNA". It matches the Rfam family "Bacterial small subunit ribosomal RNA", at positions 28 to 507 of the family's 1533-position model. The record is from RNAcentral.